This 263-nucleotide unclassified non-coding RNA is filed under the name Phylloporus sp. RNAcentral's name for it is "partial contains small subunit ribosomal RNA, internal transcribed spacer 1, and 5.8S ribosomal RNA". The stretch from base 1 to 46 matches the Rfam family "Eukaryotic small subunit ribosomal RNA", at positions 1786 to 1831 of the family's 1831-position model. Lineage: Eukaryota; Fungi; Basidiomycota; Agaricomycetes; Boletales; Boletaceae. The record is from RNAcentral.
AAGUCGUAACAAGGUUUCCGUAGGUGAACCUGCGGAAGGAUCAUUAACAAAUCUUCUAUACCUUACCAUGUGUGAAUGUUAGCGUUGUCUUGGUUGGAAGUGAAGUGUGUGUGAUGGGGGUGGUUGGUGGCCUACGUGCCGCGCCUUCUCUACCUACACUCUGACCGACCGACCAGGACAACUGCACCCUUGACAUACAAUUUGAUUGUCAGAUGGUUAAGAUGAAACAUUGACAACUUUUAACAAUGGAUCUCUUGGCUCUU